CGUCAAGAUUGAUUCUGAAGAACCCGGCGUGGUGUUAAUCGCUUUAACCUUGUUAAGAGCUUCCUCGAUCCCUGCCGUGCUCGGAUGUGAUCUUGAAGGUAAACUGAUGGAUCUUAGUUGUUUCUUGAUAGUCAUAUUCAACACUUUUUUCCUCUCCUUUUUGUGUUUUUUUUAUAAAGGUGUUUUGAGUUUUUUUUUCCCUUUCUUUGAUCGAUCUGAUUUAUCCAAUUCGAUGUACACAUGCAUAUUUAUACAACCAACAAUAAUUGAAUUGUUAAAUUUUAUUGGUCCGAUUAUCACUGGCAAAUCUGUGACUUUCUGAGCUGUCGGGUUAUUAUAUUGGUCAAAUUAUUUGGCCACAGAGUAAAGCCUGAUGAGUCAUCGUUUGUGGUGUCUCUGGUUUCGCCACAUUAUCAAUACACAUUUUUUGUUAUAUUUAAAUUUAAAAGUAUCGACGGUCAUAAAGUUAUCUCGGUAGGUUACUAGAUCCAGAUCUUCCUCAACCUUAUAUUAUCCAAUCAUAUUCAAGAAGGUUGCUUACUACGAAGAGAUUUUUGUACAGGGAAAUAAAAUAAUGUUUUUAUAUAAGUUCCUCUGCAUGGCUUCUCACAUUAUGACACGUCCAAGAGGAUCACGGGUUUUGAGUUUAUUUACUUGCGUGAUUUCACACACUUUUUCCUGUAAUCUGAUUGACUAACGUGUAUAUUUAUUAGAAACGAAGAACAUUUGAUGAUCAUAUCGCUUAGCAUGUCUGACUUCGUAUAGACGCAUAUAUUUUUGAAAAAUAAUUUAAAAUUGAAUCAUCAUAUUUUAUAGUUGACACAAUUAAAAUAGACUUCUCAACUAAAAGAUGUUUUUUUGACAAGCGAGACGGUAUCUUUAAAUUGACCAACAAUAGUAAAUCUUCCAGCAAUGGUUACUCUCUGAGACUACUAUUGAUUUGUAUUAUUACACGUGUAUAAACGCUAUGCUUAAUUUGUAGAUUCAUAUCACAAAAUAUCCAUAUCAUGGAUUUGCCCCACGUAUAUUGUCCCUUGCGCCAGGUACACGUGUAAAAUGCCUAACAUUUUUAGUUGAACUGUGUUUUGCUUUUAGGUGUGUGGGCACCAAUUAUUCCAUGUUCCAUCACGCUAUGCUAAUGUUAUUAUUUAUGUUCAAAAGUUCACUUUCGUCGAAAUAAAAAAAAUGAAACUAACAUUCACUCCACAAGUUUGUUCCAUUUCUUUCUUAUAAAAAGAAUAUUCCAAAUAUAUUCCAUCUCCACUUUAUCAUUAAUUAUUAAUAGAAACCUUAUAUUUUUUUAUAUUUACCUAUUUUACCUAACUAUUUUGUUUUAACAAUAAUCCAACAUAAUCAUUAUUUAAUAUUUUCAUAUAAUAAAUUUAUUACAUAACAUGAAUAAACAAACAUAAAACAUCAUAAUUUGUAUAAAAAAACACCAUAUAUAACUUUAUAAUUGAUUAACAAAAGUAUUUAGAGUAAGAAAUGAGUUUAUUUAUCUUUGAUUCUUUUAAAACGAUAAAAAAAAAAAACAAAACAAAACAUGCCUACAAAUGCUAUAAAGAAUUAAGUCUCCGACUCUCGCGUAUUGAACAAUCCUUUCCAGUGCUGCAAUUUUUAAAUAUUACAAUACUACAACAAUGGAUUUGCAAACGAGAUAAUUUAAGAAGCAACAAUACGAAUAAUGUGGUUCUUAAAAAAAAAAUCCAUACGAAUGUAGUUAUUGUGUACUUCAACGAAACAAACCGAAGAAAACAAUGUGGACAAGGAAGAAUAAUGUUUGCAUGCAGAACCUUAAAUUAAGCAAGAAAAUAGAAAAUUCAAAUGUUUUAGGUCACGCAGAGCCUUCACUCGGCUUUGUCCUCUUUUGCAUCUUCUUCAUCUUGUGGUGGUGACCUGUUGAGAUCAAACUUUGGAGUAGUAGUUCCACAUUCCUCCUCCUCCUCAUCGAUUGGGUCAGCGUUCAAAUCGAUUUUCAAUCCCCCAGUGCCUAAACCAAACCCUCCACCACCGCAAGAAGCAGCAACAUCCCCGCCAGAUGCUUCCACGGCCGCAUUAAAUGUGGGGGGAGGUAAGAAGCCAGAGUAACCACGGUCUCUAUGAGCCCGUAAGUGGCCGAAGACGGCUUUCCAAGAAAGAAAACUUCUCCCGCAAACGUUACAUUUAGGAGGACCUUCAGGUGGGUUGAUCAACUUAGGAGAACCUUUCUUCCUAGGCUUCUUUGCCGGCUCUUCUUCUCCAGCAGACACGGUGGCUUCAGAACCGGACGCGCCGGCCACAUCUGCCAAGUCGUCCAACAUAACCGUCCUUGGACGACGAGCCUUUUUCUUCUUAACUGUUCCACCACUUCCACCAACCUCUUGUUCCAUGUUGUCUUUUGUCACCGCCGCUUCUUGAGCGGCAGCAAUCAAUAAGUCAGCCGCAGCGACGGCUUUUUGACGGGUUACCUGAUCCACAUCACUAAGACUCAGUGCGGGAAGGGCGAGAACUAUUUCGCGCAUCUCCCCUUCUUCUUCUUCAUCGCUCCAGAGGUAAUCACUUUCAUCAGAAUUUUCAUUAAUUCUUUCCUCAGUGUUCACUUUUGUUUUCUCGGGAUCACUCAUGAUUUUGACUUUGUUGAGAGUAAUAAGUUUUGCUGAGACCGAAAUGGUGUUUAUAUAGUUUCUUUGAUCACAUGACGGUUAUGACCGUUACCGCAUCCUGUGUCUGAUGUCUAUAUCUCUCUAUUGGCCUCUCCCGCCUUUUCAUUUGAAGGUUGCGUCCGUUAGAUCCAGUUAAAAACCGAAAAUUGAUAUGAAAUGGUAAGCCAUAUAUAAAUUGGUUUCUUCAGUCGGUCGAAAUGAACCGGAAAUUGAGAACUGAAAUCAUAUACAUCAUUGAUUGUGCUAGUAUUGUUUGUGGGCCAUGUUCAUUACAUGGUCUGAAUUCGCUUAGCCACUACUUAAGAAUAUCAUGAUUUUAUUAUUAUUUUGACAUAAGAAUAUUAUGAAUUCUGGUAGGUUUUUUUUUUGUCAACUGAAUUCUGGUAGGUUGAAACUAGUUUUUUCCUGUAUAACUAUUUUUUUGCUACAUUUUGAUUCUAAAUUUUAGGCUAUGUACUUUAUUUUUAAUAUUAAAUCGGGUUGGUAUAUAUUAUAUAUUAUUCUUGAUUUUUAGUACAAUUUUGAUAAAAUCCUUAGAGUUUGUUGUUUUGGAAAAUCUGAUAUAAUAGCGUUCUAAACGAAUUCCAAUUGUUGACAAAAAAAAUACGAAUUCCAAUUUUAAAUUUUAAUUCAAGAAACUGGUGUUGUCAUUUGAAUUAUCGUUCCAUUGCAUUUUCUUCACACGAUGGCUUGUAUGUAUACCUGUAUUGUAUCUAUUUUUACAAAAUGUAUUUAAUUAUCUUCUACGUUUAUCUGUUUGAUUAGUGUACAAAAUAUUUUUUCGGCAAAUUCUCUAAAGUCGAAUGCCUACGAAAGUUACCACUUUACAGUUUACAUGCAUAAUUUAGAAUUUAAUGAGAGAUUAUGUUGAGAAGCGAGGCUCGUGUUCUUAUCAACCUUCGAAAUAAACCUUCUAGAUACUUCUCGAAUCCGUCAAUGCUCAUCUCGACCUCUUCAAGCUUAUUUUGUAGGUCAUCACGAGAGCAACAUAUCGAUGAACCCAAACUCUCCAACUCGUUCUUCGUCUCCUCAUGAUGAACCUUCUUUUUCUUUAGUACCGAAGACAACUUGCUCUUAAUGUUACUUUCUCGUCCCGACAAGAACUCCAAGAACGACUUCAACACCGACACGCUAACUGAAACUACUCGUCUCAUCGCAUUUAUAACUGCCGCAAGGUGUUCAUCUUGUUGGCCAUCACUUACCCCCGACGACGAUGAACAUGACUCUCCAUUGAAUUUCUUCAAGGAUCCAAGAACCUUCUUAGUUUCUUUUCUCAUGUUCUUUCUAAAUCUGACAUAGCCAGCGACAGCGACAUCGAGUUGAUCAGCUCCUCCUCUGGCUACUUUCUUGCGUCUGACACAUGACUGAACACCACGAACAUGUUCGUGAGUCUCCACCAUGAGGUCUCUAGAGAUAUUGCAUAUAUCCAUUAGCCUUAAAGACCCAUCGAGCAUCUCCUCCAUAAACUCUGAUACAUCCGACGACAUAACACGCUGAGUCGAACCCAUUUUAAGAAACUCCUCCGUACGAUUAUAGAGCUCCUCCAAACCAGCCAAUGCCGUCAAGAUUGAUUCUGAAGAACCCGGCGUGGUGUUAAUCGCUUUAACCUUGUUAAGAGCUUCCUCGAUCCCUGCCGUGCUCGGAUGUGAUCUUGAAGGUAAACUGAUGGAUCUUAGUUGUUUCUUGAUAGUCAUAUUCAACACUUUUUUCCUCUCCUUUUUGUGUUUUUUUUAUAAAGGUGUUUUGAGUUUUUUUUUCCCUUUCUU
RNAcentral lists this long non-coding RNA (4408 nucleotides) under Brassica napus (rape). RNAcentral describes it as "long non-coding RNA (BNAP_LNC009142)". Lineage: Eukaryota; Viridiplantae; Streptophyta; Magnoliopsida; Brassicales; Brassicaceae. The record is from RNAcentral.